GGACGAACGCUGGCGGCGUGCUUAACCCAUGCAAGUCGAACGGAAAGGCCCUGCUUUUGUGGGGUGCUCGAGUGGCGAACGGGUGAGUAACACGUGAGUAACCUGCCCUUGACUUUGGGAUAACUUCAGGAAACUGGGGCUAAUACCGGAUAGGAGCUCCUGCUGCAUGGUGGGGGUUGGAAAGUUUCGGCGGUUGGGGAUGGACUCGCGGCUUAUCAGCUUGUUGGUGGGGUAGUGGCUUACCAAGGCUUUGACGGGUAGCCGGCCUGAGAGGGUGACCGGCCACAUUGGGACUGAGAUACGGCCCAGACUCCUACGGGAGGCAGCAGUGGGGAAUAUUGCACAAUGGGCGGAAGCCUGAUGCAGCAACGCCGCGUGCGGGAUGACGGCCUUCGGGUUGUAAACCGCUUUCGCCUGUGACGAAGCGUGAGUGACGGUAAUGGGUAAAGAAGCGCCGGCUAACUACGUGC
RNAcentral lists this ribosomal RNA (470 nucleotides) under uncultured bacterium. RNAcentral's name for it is "partial 16S ribosomal RNA". It matches the Rfam family "Bacterial small subunit ribosomal RNA", at positions 27 to 508 of the family's 1533-position model. The record is from RNAcentral.